This is a long non-coding RNA of Mastomys coucha (southern multimammate mouse), 596 nucleotides long. RefSeq lists it as uncharacterized. The record is from RefSeq and is a predicted model, not a curated record. Lineage: Eukaryota; Metazoa; Chordata; Mammalia; Rodentia; Muridae. The transcript has 2 exons.
CACUCACUGUGCUGAUAUCUAAACAGCACCACAGGAGAAGAUGGGGUAGAGAAGAGACAGGAAGAAACAGGAAUAUUCCAAGACCCAGGACAAGGAGCACAUACAUCCGUAGAGCCGCAGUCGCAUGCACCUAUAAGGAUCUCUACCUUGAUGUCAUCUUCUGUGAUAUAUCCAGCCUGCACCACCCACCACGCCUCGAUGGCAAUUUCCACUGGCUUCAUUGGUAGAAGAUCACGGGCAGUUUUCCUUCUGAAGAAUUUCUGCAAUAAUGUAACACUUAAGGACCUGCAGCCAACCCAGAUUACCACUGUCUUCUAUCAUUGUAGAAGACAUUACAACAGGCUACAUCUUCUCAAAUUUUCAUAUUUAAAAUGCUAACUAGUUAUGUAGUGUAGAAACAUUCUUUCUUAACUUAUUUUAAAAUAAAUUACUAAACAUAGACAUUAAUCCAGAAACAGUUCAAAUAAAACCCAAAAGGUUAAAAACCUGUACUUGAAAAUGUGAACUCACUAAGUGAAUCCUAGGGCUAAAUUAUCCAAAUAAAAAGAGAAGCAAAGAAUAGUUAACUUCCAAAAAUAAAUAUUAUAAGCUGUAAC